AGCGAACGUUAGCGGCGCGCCUAACACAUGCAAGUCGAGCGUGAAAGGGGCAACCUGAGUAAAGCGGCGGACGGGUGCGUAACACGUAGAUAACCUGCCCUUUGGAGGGGGAUAACGUUCCGAAAGGAACGCUAAUACCGCGUAAAGCGUUUGGUGGUUCGCCACUAGACGGCAAAGACUGGGACUCGCCAGGGCCAGUCGCCAGAGGAGGGGGCGGCGGCCCAUCAGCUAGUUGGUAAGGUAAUGGCUUACCAAGGCAAAGACGGGUAGCUGGUCUGAGGGGAUGAUCAGCCACACUGGUACUGGGACACGGACCAGACUCCUACGGGGGGCAGCAGUGGGGAAUCUUGGUCAAUGGGCGCAAGCCUGAACCAGCGACGCCGCGUGAGUGAUGAAGGCCUUCGGGUUGUAAAGCUCUGUGGGGAGGGACGAAAGAGCAUGUUCUAACAGGACAUGUGUUGACGGUACCUCCUUAGCAAGCACCGGCUAACUCUGUGCCAGCAGCCGCCGUAA
RNAcentral lists this ribosomal RNA (513 nucleotides) under uncultured bacterium. RNAcentral describes it as "partial 16S ribosomal RNA". It matches the Rfam family "Bacterial small subunit ribosomal RNA", at positions 29 to 523 of the family's 1533-position model. The record is from RNAcentral.